This 294-nucleotide ribosomal RNA is filed under the name Blastocystis sp. RNAcentral describes it as "partial small subunit ribosomal RNA". It matches the Rfam family "Eukaryotic small subunit ribosomal RNA", at positions 42 to 348 of the family's 1831-position model. The record is from RNAcentral. Lineage: Eukaryota; Bigyra; Opalinata; Blastocystidae.
GAUUAAGCCAUGCAUGUGUAAGUAUAAAUAAUUCUACUUUGAAACUGCGAAUGGCUCAUUAUAUCAGUUAUAGUUUAUUAGAAAAAAUGUACUACUUGGAUAACCGUAGUAAUUCUAGGGCUAAUACAUGAGUAAAUCCUCGACUUUGAAGAGGUGUGUUUAUUAGUAUGAAAACCAUAUGCUUCGGCAUGAUAGUGAGUAAUAAUAACCUUUCAUAUCGUAUGUUGAAAUAACGAUAGUUCUUUCAAGUUUCUGCCCUAUCAGCUUUCGAUGGUAGUGUAUUGGACUACCAUG